AUUUAAUCUUCCAAAGGUUAUUUCUCCAAGUUUGGAACCAAAUGAAAAACUUUCUAAUACUGCCAAUCAGAUCCUUGACCCUGAUGUCUGGAACAUAGAUAACACUCAUCAUUCUCCUUCAUUUGUUCUUAAGACAUUUGCUCCAAAAAUGCUGAUCUGUGAAAGUGACUCAAGAGACAUAAAAAAAGAGACUAUGGAUGACAAACAUCCUAACAACUAUAAGUCCUGGAGAAAAGGUCAGAAAAACUGAUGGAGAAGCUAUGGAUUAAAGAGCCAGCAGAAAGAAAAUUUAUUGUCUUUUCUUAAAC
Molecule: non-coding RNA, 308 nt
Organism: Callorhinus ursinus (northern fur seal)
Lineage: Eukaryota; Metazoa; Chordata; Mammalia; Carnivora; Otariidae
Source: RefSeq, a predicted model, not a curated record